UACGAAGGGGGCUAGCGUUGCUCGGAAUCACUGGGCGUAAAGCGCGCGUAGGCGGCUUGUUAAGUCAGGGGUGAAAUCCUGGAGCUCAACUCCAGAACUGCCUUUGAUACUGGCGAGCUUGAGUUCGGGAGAGGUGAGUGGAACUGCGGGUGUAGAGGUGAAAUUCGUAGAUAUUCGCAAGAACACCAGUGGCGAAGGCGGCUCACUGGCCCGGUACUGACGCUGAGGUGCGAAAGCGUGGGGAGCAAACAGG
This 253-nucleotide ribosomal RNA is filed under the name uncultured bacterium. RNAcentral's name for it is "partial 16S ribosomal RNA". It matches the Rfam family "Bacterial small subunit ribosomal RNA", at positions 524 to 776 of the family's 1533-position model. The record is from RNAcentral.